RNAcentral lists this ribosomal RNA (1801 nucleotides) under Triticum aestivum (bread wheat). Its description in RNAcentral is "partial small subunit ribosomal RNA". Lineage: Eukaryota; Viridiplantae; Streptophyta; Magnoliopsida; Poales; Poaceae. The record is from RNAcentral.
UCAUGAUGUCCAUGGCCCAAAUAGGGCAAUGGUGGCCAUUGAGGGCGAAUGCCUCAAACUCUAUAGCCAUAUGUUAUCUCUAUGGGUAAACCAGAGAUAAUUAAUUUACAACCAGUAAAUUAAAGACCAUCAUGGUUGAUGUUGUACUGAACUUAGCAAAAUCAAUGGGUAUUUCAAGAAGUUAUCUUAAAACCAUUAGUGUGAAUCUGGAAUACCCAUUGAUUUGGCAAACAUGGAAAUAUAUUACAUCAACUUAGAAUCUGGAAUACAUCGGUACUCAACAGAAAACAGUACUAAAAUAUGUAUACUGAUUUUAGCAGAUCUAAAACAGAAAUAAAUUACAGCUAGAAGUGCUGUUAGGAGAUUAAUUGGUAAUCUGCUAAAACAAAUGUGCAAAUGAGCAAAACGUGGUAUGCUAUGCUGGAUGCCUAAAUUCCCAGCGCAUGCAUAUGGCCAGUUGGCCACGUAAGGCAGCCCCGACCUGGUCAAAGCGAGUAGAUAAGGGAGGGCGACUAGAUGAAAUAAACAGGUCUAGCAAUUCCCGAGUCACUUCGAUCCCAAAUCCACAGCGGAGACCGGCGGAGGACCCCAGCGCCGGCUGGCCGGCCGCAUCACCGGCGGAGAGAAGAUCUCCCGCCGCGCUCGUCCUGGAGGAGGAGCCACCGCGGAGGUGGGUGCCGGGCCCAACGCCGUUGUAGGCACCAUCCGCGAGCGCGAGCGCUGCUGCUGCGCGGCCGGAGCGGCUGCUCGACGGCGGACUCUUCAGCGGGACCGCGAGGGCCCCGGGGCGGCGGCGCGUGCCUGUGCGCCGCAAAGGCGGAGGAGUGGUGGGUGUCUGGGACGGUGCGGCAGCUUUGGCAUCGACUGCCGUGGCGCAAGAGGAGCCGCUCACGCCGGAGCCAUAGAUGAAGACGAAGGCCCCGAGUCCCCGACCGGCACGGACACGAAGGCGAGCGCGUGACAGGCGGCGACCUCGACGACCACAGAGGUCGGAGAUGGCAGCGCCGCGGCCUCGUGCUCGUCGUGUCGUCGUCAAGGACGACGAUGUCGUUCCCUGGCGCCGCGCUCAACCGUCGCGUGCUCCGCGUUGGGAGCCGCCACCGGCUCGGACUGCAGCAGGCCACUGAGCCAUGGUCACGCGCAGAAGGGCGCCGCUGAGCCGCGUUCUAGAUGGAGCGCUCGCACUGCUUGCAGGCUGUAGGUCGUCCGUGCCGUGGAUGCGAACAGAGGCUGCUGCCUCCGGUCUUGGACAUGAGACCGCAUCAUGGACAACAUCAUUCACCGUUUGAGGUGAGUGCCGAACCAGAAAAGUAAUAAAAAUAGAAUAGCAUCACCUGUGAAGAAAUCCACAGGAAGAGGGUGUCGAGAGGGUCGCCGUGCCGGGGCUGUGGUCGCCUCGGGCUGGUGCAGGAGGUCGAGGCUGCGGGGUCACUCGGCGGCUGAAGACAUGCGCCGCCGUGCCGCUCUGCUGGGUGAGGCCUGCUCGCGCCAUACGCCGGAGGGCUUGUCCUGCCACCAGUUGCCGACGACGACGCUCCGUCGGAGAGCGUGCUGAUAACGUGUGAAGAAUCGAUUGUAAACGAACAAGAGAGUCGAACAAAUGAAUCGAUAAGAUACUUUUCCAUUGAUGAUUGAACACUUAGGGGAACGGACGCAUCCAAAGGACGCGAAGGUUCAGGAGGCGGUUCCGACAUGUGGGUUUCACACCGUGGGAAUAUCCACGUGCGGUUACAAGUAAAGAUUGAAGUAACUAAUUACAUUAAUUAAUUAAAUUCUAACAGGAUUAUCCUGUGAGCCAUGC